This 375-nucleotide ribosomal RNA is filed under the name uncultured bacterium. RNAcentral describes it as "bacterial SSU rRNA". It matches the Rfam family "Bacterial small subunit ribosomal RNA", at positions 527 to 896 of the family's 1533-position model. The record is from RNAcentral.
GUAGGGGGCAAGCGUUGUYCGGGAUUUUAUUGGGCGUAAAGAAGCGUGUAGGCGGUCARGGUAGGUCCGUUGUGAAAACUCGAGGCUCAACCUCGAGACGCCGAUGGAAACCAUCUGACUAGAGUCCGGAAGAGGAGAGUGGAAUUCCUGGUGUAGCGGUGAAAUGCGCAGAUAUCAGGAAGAACGCCCGUGGCUAAGGCGGCUCUCUAGUACGGUACUGACGCUGAGACGCGAAAGCGUGGGGAGCGAACAGGAUUAGAUACCCUGGUAGUCCACGCCGUAAACGAUGGGUGCUAGGUGUAGGGGGUGUCGACUCCCUCUGUGCCGAAGCUAACGCAUUAAGCACCCCGCCUGGGGAGUACGGCCGCAAGGCUA